UCAGGGAUGACUGACUGCCUCUCCCUCUUGUGUGUUCUCCACAGCUGGACCAGUCAGGACUGAGGGCUGAGACGCACCACUGCAGCCACCCACCAGAGCCCAGGGGUCCUGCAAACGCACCAGGGUGCACAAGGACCUGACACACCAGCACAUCAGUGUCCUGCGUGACAUCCAUGAGACCUUGGUGCACAAUGUCUGUGCCAACUUUGAGUGCAGAUUCCAUGGUGACUGGAGGUCUAGUGACAGUACAACAAGAAUGGAAGCGGAGCAUCUGAGAGGGAAAUGAAUAUUAAGGGUAACAUUUCAAAAGGUCUCCAGGCACAAGCUGAAUUUCUCUGGAGAUGCAAACGCCCAUGGAAUCAUCCCAUAACUACAUUAUGGCAACCUCAGGAAUGAAUUACAGCAAUUUAAGAGCAUACAGCAACCAUAUACAAUAAUUAGGCAAAGGAAGUGGGGAAAAAUACUGCAUCCAGUUGAAACGACAAGAAAAAUGUCAAGUAGGAAGAAUGUAAUUACCUAGGCUGAAACCUGGCCAGGAUACUAUUCAUUCUACAAACUUGGCUUCUCUCAGAAUCAAACAACAGAUGUUCCUGUGAACCUCUGUCAGGCAUAAAUACUUUAUUAAUUAAAUUUAUAAGAACUGUU
Pelodiscus sinensis (Chinese soft-shelled turtle) is the source of this 645-nucleotide non-coding RNA. Lineage: Eukaryota; Metazoa; Chordata; Testudines; Trionychidae. The record is from RefSeq and is a predicted model, not a curated record.